This 525-nucleotide ribosomal RNA is filed under the name uncultured Tulasnella. RNAcentral's name for it is "eukaryotic LSU rRNA". The stretch from base 107 to 270 matches the Rfam family "5.8S ribosomal RNA". The record is from RNAcentral. Lineage: Eukaryota; Fungi; Basidiomycota; Agaricomycetes; Cantharellales; Tulasnellaceae.
CCUCUGACCGAGGUCAAACCCGUCGCUCUGUGUUACCUCUGUCUGAGGCACACGUUAAAGAUUGUUCCGCGUUGUGAGUCUAACACCAGUUGUAUAAACUUUUUACAACCGGUAGCGAUGGAUCCCUUGGCACGUCAUUCGAUGAAGACCGUUGCAAAUUGCGAUAAAGUGAUGUGAUGCGCAAGUCCACCACUUAUACGUGAAUCAUCGAGUUGUUGAACGCAUUGCACCGCGCCCUAAUCCGGCUGCGGUAUGCCCCUUUGAGCGUCAUUGUAUUCCUUCGGGAGUCCUUUUUACAAAAGGACCCGAGUUCGGAGUCCUCGGUCCUCUGGAUCGUGUUCUCUUAGAUGCGUCGCACCGAUCGCCUGAUGGGUCUCUAAUGCCUAAGCGUGGAGUUCCUUCAGAGUCCGAGACGUGCUUGACCGGGUGUUGAGCUCGCGUCACCAAGUCUGCCUCACAAGCAGUACUACAACGCAUGACCUCAUUGGGGUAGGACAACCCGCUAGACUUAAGCAUAUUAAUCAG